UAUCAAUAAGCUGAGGAAAAGAAACUAACAAGGAUUCCCCUAGUAACGGCGAGUGAAGCGGGAAGAGCUCAAAUUUGAAAUCUGGUAGCCUUCGGUUGCCCGAGUUGUAAUCUAGAGAAGUGUUUUCCGCGUUGGCCCAUGUACAAGUCCCUUGGAACAGGGCGUCAUAGAGGGUGAGAAUCCCGUCCUUGACAUGGACCCCCAAUGCUUUGUGAUACACUUUCAACGAGUCGAGUUGUUUGGGAAUGCAGCUCAAAAUGGGUGGUGAAUUCCAUCUAAAGCUAAAUAUUGGCGAGAGACCGAUAGCGAACAAGUACCGUGAGGGAAAGAUGAAAAGCACUUUGGAAAGAGAGUUAAACAGUACGUGAAAUUGUUGAAAGGGAAACGAUUGAAGUCAGUCAUGCUCUUUGGAUUAAGCCGUUCUGCGGUGUAUUUCAUUGAGCGGGGUCAACAUCAGUUUUGAUCGCUGGAAAAGGGCAGGAGGAAGGUAGCACUCUCGGGUGAACUUAUAGCCUCUUGUCGUAUACAGUGAUUGGGACUGAGGAACGCAGCAUGCCUUUUGGCCGGGAUUCGUCCACGUACAUGCUUAGGAUGUUGACAUAAUGGCUUUAAACGACCCGUCCUUGAAACACGGAC
Molecule: ribosomal RNA, 636 nt
Filed under: Naganishia globosa
Lineage: Eukaryota; Fungi; Basidiomycota; Tremellomycetes; Filobasidiales; Filobasidiaceae
Description: eukaryotic LSU rRNA
Rfam family: Eukaryotic large subunit ribosomal RNA
Source: RNAcentral